RNAcentral lists this long non-coding RNA (3217 nucleotides) under Ooceraea biroi (clonal raider ant). Its description in RNAcentral is "uncharacterized LOC105281655". The record is from RNAcentral. Lineage: Eukaryota; Metazoa; Arthropoda; Insecta; Hymenoptera; Formicidae.
GUUCACGUGAUCGCGACAGCUUCACGAAUCGCAGCGGCGCGCGGGCCGCGUGCUCUCGAAUUCCUGCUUGCAGUCGUCGCCUGCCCGCGUCCAGUGACGACGCGUUGCGUUGAUUUUCUCGCGCCAGAUUCGACGUGGCGGUCCCCGUAACACGAGGAGAAACGGGUGUUCGAUGCUAUACCGGUUCUACCGGUCGGCCGUUACAUUGUCGCGUCUCUCCCCGACGAGAGACGCUGCGCUCCCUCUUAAGAAAAAUUACUUUCAGCUAAUUCAUACCUGUCGCGGUUUCAUAUCCAGCGAGGCGAUGCACCGAACAUGAUCCGGCAGCCACACUAUUCUAGAUUGAGCUGAACAUAAUGAUCACCGCACGCUGAUACUUAAUUUAAUGCUGACAGCCGAGUUGGACGUCGAAAUGAGCAAAGCUACCGUUCAGCACUACGAGUUCGCAGAAUUUCGUGAAAAUGAUAAUUACAUUUGCGUUGCAAGAAACCUCAGUCAACGCAUUUAAAACAAAAUAAUUCCAAUAAGCAAAAUGUUAAAAUAAUAAAAUUAAAAAAAAUAAUAAAUAAAUAAAAUGCUAGCAAAAGAAAAACUGAUUACGCGAGGGGUUGGUCACUAGCAGUUAUAGUGUACAAAAAUUACCUUUGAUACGGAUUACCUUUAAAUUACCUCAGAUUCCUUAAGAUUACCUAAUACUACAACAGUUCGAUCAAAUAACUUGGCAAAAGUUUCAAUUUACUGUCAAAAUUCAUCAAUGCCGUAUUUUCCGUAUUGAUUUCAGCUGGUAGUUCCCUCGAUGAUUGUUCAGAAUUUUCCAUUUUGAUCGAUUUCGAUAAUAAAACCAGAAAAAAAUAAUAAACUAGCACAGAGCAAAAGAAUCAAGCACAGAGUAGGCAGCUCGGCGGACAUAUAGACCCGAAAACAUAUGAAAGGUUGCGUUUCCGAUAUUUGGUUGUCUCUCGGCGGUUAGAUGUACUGAAUAUAUAUCGCGCAUGGUAUCACGAUUACCUUAGAUUACCUCAGAUUAUCUGAGACUACCCUAAGAAUUACCUAGCCCUUGUACAAAGAUUACCUCAGUGACCAACCCCUCGUGAUUACGCGUUUUCUAAAUCAUCUAUCUAAGUAGAACAGAAGCUCUGCCGUGGAUCAGUCUUUGUGCACUGUCAACAGAUACUCAUCCAGUUUCUGCUGGCAUUCUGCCCCGAGAGCUGCUGAGCAGACUCCGCAAGAUCGUUCCUGAUAUUUGAGACGUCUCGUCUGAAAGAGAAAACGGCUCGCGGAAAAUAACGUUAUGGAGUCGAUGUAUAGCAUCGGUUUAUUUCUAGUGCAACGCGAGAUAAUAAGCAAAAAUAUCGCAGAAAGCAAUCCAAGUGGCACUCCGUGGCGCCAAUGGAGAGCGUAAUGUGUCGAUUCAUCGAACGAUAGCAUACGACGACGGCACGUGCCGCGCGCGUUAACAUAAUUUCUAAGGCUAUCGUAAUUUUCCACGACGUUGGAAGAAAUGUACGAAGAUAUAGCUGGCCGGGAGCGUGAUCCACAACGCUCGAAACGGGAACGAUCCGUAUUGGUCGUUGGAAUUGGAUUUUUGCGAGUCCUCGUCCGGAGAACGCGCGCACACAUCAGCCGAGCCGAGUGAAGAAAAACAAAACUUGUUUUUCCUUCAAUAAGAUACUGAGGGAUAUCGCGGAAAAAAUGCGUGGAACGAUACCCUUACCCGAUUUAGAAUCUAACGUCCCAAUAACGUGCUAAUAGCACAAAAGUACGCGAAGAAUUCUGCCCUCUGCGCAAUCCUCAUGUGCAGUUAAUAAAAAAAUAACUCUGCACUUGUUGCACGCUGGAAGCACGUGUUGUAUAAUAAUAUUACACGCGGACUUUAUUAUGCAAAUUGAUCCCGGCAUGACAUGCUCAGACAUAUGACGUGGUGUGUUGCAUCGGUCAUAAAUUAUAUUACACGUUCAUUUUCGGUGCUAAUGCCCCGGCGACAGAAGGCACUCCUAUGGUCCAAUACUCUCGAAUACCAUCAGUUUCGUCAUUUUAUUCAAAAUACAAAAACGAUAAAAUUAUUCGCGAUUACUUAAAUGAAAUUUUCAUGUCAAUUUUCAAAAGGAUUCCCAACAAUAUCUUUGCACAGCGUUUUUCUUCGACAUUUUAGUUAAUUGCAAAGUAAUAGCUCAAUAUCUCUCUAUACUAUCGUAGUUUUAUUUACAAAAAUGCUGGAAAAAAUCCGUCGUUAGCAGCAAGAGAAAAGUAAUUUCGGCAGAUAAGUAAUAUGAGCAUGUGUUUGGUAUCUUCUGCUCUCUAAUCCGUAGCAACGUGCAUCAUAUUUGUACGCUUAAGUAAUUUAUCUACACGACACGAUACAAAGCACAUAAAGUAAUCGGAUUUGUCAUUGAAGCGACGUGUAAUGACAUGUGGAAUUUUUCAAUGUGCAUAAGUAUAGCAUCCUGAUAAAUUAAAAGUCUCGUAUCGUCCAAGGAAUUGCGAAAUCGAAAGCGCGAAAUGAUGUAACAGAAUGCACGGAUGAUAGCUCGUAAAAUAGAAGAAUGACGGUAAAGAAUAACGUGGACAACGGUGGCGGGGAUACCGCAGAAACACAAUCUCCUUGAGGAUUAAACUGUUUACGAAGUUGCUUUUAUAAAUUGCAUCUCUCGCGAUGUAGCUGCAACACGCGCAUAACGUCACUUAGUUUUUAAUGAGUUUUAUUGGGUGAUACGUAGCACGCACGUGUGUGUGUGUGCGCGAAUAUCGCCGUGUUUAUGCCAUUAAUUAAAACCAACUUUUUACGAUUCGCAAACGAAGAGAGAUCCGGAAAUAUCGAUAUUCAUUCGAAACUAUUUUAAAGAGAGAGCAAUUGAAAUGGAGAUUAUUGUACGUGUGUAAAGCUGCUUGCAUAGAGAUAACGUGUGACGCUAAAUAGCCACGUGUGUGCGGACACUUGUACGCAAUAAAAAAUUAACAAAAAAUAUUAUAAUGUACCUUUUUAUUUCUUAUAUUAAUAAAAUUCAGAUCUAUACACAUUCAAGAUUAGUUUCUACUUUAAUCUGCUCCUUCCUCUUGUGUAUACCUUCGUGAUUUGGUCUUGAAAAUCUUGUAAGGAGAAAUCUAUCCUAAUUUCGAGAAUUUGUUCCUAAAAUAUCACGUCCAUAAAAGAUAAAACACUAUAAAAAUAUUUUUAUAUAUUUUAUCUGGUCUCUCGUGGAGGGGGGCAAAUAUAUAA